ACUUAUUUAAUAUAUUAAGUAUAAUUGACUUCCAAUCAAUAAGUUUGUUAAACAAAAUAAGUA
This 63-nucleotide transfer RNA is filed under the name Balta maculata. RNAcentral's name for it is "tRNA-Gly". Lineage: Eukaryota; Metazoa; Arthropoda; Insecta; Blattodea; Pseudophyllodromiidae. The record is from RNAcentral.